GUUGCUUUGGCGGCACAUAUACCAAAAUCGGAAUGAUCCAGAGAAGACCAGCAUGGCAGCUACACAAAGAUAUUAACAAAUUUCAUGAAGCAUUUUAUAUAUUG
RNAcentral lists this small nuclear RNA (104 nucleotides) under Pongo abelii (Sumatran orangutan). Lineage: Eukaryota; Metazoa; Chordata; Mammalia; Primates; Hominidae. The record is from RNAcentral.